RNAcentral lists this ribosomal RNA (253 nucleotides) under uncultured bacterium. RNAcentral's name for it is "partial 16S ribosomal RNA". It matches the Rfam family "Bacterial small subunit ribosomal RNA", at positions 524 to 776 of the family's 1533-position model. The record is from RNAcentral.
UACAGAGGUCUCAAGCGUUGUUCGGAUUCAUUGGGCGUAAAGGGUGCGUAGGCGGCGCGGUAAGUCGGGUGUGAAAUCUCGGGGCUUAACUCCGAAACUGCAUUCGAUACUGCCGUGCUUGAGGACUGGAGAGGAGACUGGAAUUUACGGUGUAGCGGUGAAAUGCGUAGAUAUCAGAAGGAACGCCGGUGGCGAAAGCGACGCACUGGAUCUCUACUGACGCUGAGGCGCGAAAGCCAGGGGAGCGAACGGG